RNAcentral lists this ribosomal RNA (372 nucleotides) under uncultured organism. RNAcentral's name for it is "bacterial SSU rRNA". It matches the Rfam family "Bacterial small subunit ribosomal RNA", at positions 526 to 896 of the family's 1533-position model. The record is from RNAcentral.
CAGAGGUCCCGAGCGUUGUUCGGAUUCACUGGGCGUAAAGGGUGCGUAGGUGGUGAGGUAAGUCGGAUGUGAAAUCUCCGGGCUCAACCCGGAAAUGGCAUUGGAAACUACCUUGCUAGAGGAUUUGAGGGGGGAUUGGAAUACUUGGUGUAGCAGUGAAAUGCGUAGAUAUCAAGUGGAACACCAGUGGCGAAGGCGAAUCCCUGGAAAACACCUGACACUGAGGCACGAAAGCUAGGGGAGCAAACAGGAUUAGAUACCCUGGUAGUCCUAGCCCUAAACGGUGCUUGCUUGCUGUAAGAGGAAUCGACCCCUCUUGUGGCGGAGCUAACGCGCUAAGCAAGCCGCCUGGGAAGUACGGUCGCAAGAUUA